UGAGCUCGAUGAGUAGGGCGGGACACGUGGUAUCCUGUCUGAAUAUGGGGGGACCAUCCUCCAAGGCUAAAUACUCCUGACUGACCGAUAGUGAACCAGUACCGUGAGGGAAAGGCGAAAAGAACCCCGGCGAGGGGAGUGAAAAAGAACCUGAAACCGUGUACGUACAAGCAGUGGGAGCCUCUUAAUGGGGUGACUGCGUACCUUUUGUAUAAUGGGUCAGCGACUUAUAUUCUGUAGCAAGGUUAACCGAAUAGGGGAGCCGAAGGGAAACCGAGUCUUAACUGGGCGUUAAGUUGCAGGGUAUAGACCCGAAACCCGGUGAUCUAGCCAUGGGCAGGUUGAAGGUUGGGUAACACUAACUGGAGGACCGAACCGACUAAUGUUGAAAAAUUAGCGGAUGACUUGUGGCUGGGGGGGAAAGGCCAAUCAAACCGGGAGAUAGCUGGUUCUCCCCGAAAGCUAUUUAGGUAGCGCCUCGUGAAUUCAUCUCCGGGGGUAGAGCACUGUUUCGGCAAGGGGGUCAUCCCGACUUACCAACCCGAUGCAAACUGCGAAUACCGGAGAAUGUUAUCACGGGAGACACACGGCGGGUGCUAACGUCCGUCGUGAAGAGGGAAACAACCCAGACCGCCAGCUAAGGUCCCAAAGUCAUGGUUAAGUGGGAAACGAUGUGGGAAGGCCCAGACAGCCAGGAUGUUGGCUUAGAAGCAGCCAUCAUUUAAAGAAAGCGUAAUAGCUCACUGGUCGAGUCGGCCUGCGCGGAAGAUGUAACGGGGCUAAACCAUGCACCGAAGCUGCGGCAGCGACACUAUGUGUUGUUGGGUAGGGGAGCGUUCUGUAAGCCUGUGAAGGUGGCCUGUGAGGGUUGCUGGAGGUAUCAGAAGUGCGAAUGCUGACAUAAGUAACGAUAAAGCGGGUGAAAAGCCCGCUCGCCGGAAGACCAAGGGUUCCUGUCCAACGUUAAUCGGGGCAGGGUGAGUCGACCCCUAAGGCGAGGCCGAAAGGCGUAGUCGAUGGGAAACAGGUUAAUAUUCCUGUACUUGGUGUUACUGCGAAGGGGGGACGGAGAAGGCUAUGUUGGCCGGGCGACGGUUGUCCCGGUUUAAGCGUGUAGGCUGGUUUUCCAGGCAAAUCCGGAAAACCAAGGCUGAGGCGUGAUGACGAAGCACUACGGUGCUGAAGCGACAAAUGCCCUGCUUCCAGGAAAAGCCUCUAAGCAUCAGGUAACAUCAAAUCGUACCCCAAACCGACACAGGUGGUCAGGUAGAGAAUACCAAGGCGCUUGAGAGAACUCGGGUGAAGGAACUAGGCAAAAUGGUGCCGUAACUUCGGGAGAAGGCACGCUGAUAUGUAGGUGAAGCGACUUGCUCGUGGAGCUGAAAUCAGUCGAAGAUACCAGCUGGCUGCAACUGUUUAUUAAAAACACAGCACUGUGCAAACACGAAAGUGGACGUAUACGGUGUGACGCCUGCCCGGUGCCGGAAGGUUAAUUGAUGGGGUUAGCGGUAACGCGAAGCUCUUGAUCGAAGCCCCGGUAAACGGCGGCCGUAACUAUAACGGUCCUAAGGUAGCGAAAUUCCUUGUCGGGUAAGUUCCGACCUGCACGAAUGGCGUAAUGAUGGCCAGGCUGUCUCCACCCGAGACUCAGUGAAAUUGAACUCGCUGUGAAGAUGCAGUGUACCCGCGGCAAGACGGAAAGACCCCGUGAACCUUUACUAUAGCUUGACACUGAACAUUGAGCCUUGAUGUGUAGGAUAGGUGGGAGGCUUUGAAGUGUGGACGCCAGUCUGCAUGGAGCCGACCUUGAAAUACCACCCUUUAAUGUUUGAUGUUCUAACGUUGGCCCGUAAUCCGGGUUGCGGACAGUGUCUGGUGGGUAGUUUGACUGGGGCGGUCUCCUCCUAAAGAGUAACGGAGGAGCACGAAGGUUGGCUAAUCCUGGUCGGACAUCAGGAGGUUAGUGCAAUGGCAUAAGCCAGCUUGACUGCGAGCGUG
RNAcentral lists this ribosomal RNA (1998 nucleotides) under human gut metagenome. RNAcentral describes it as "bacterial LSU rRNA". It matches the Rfam family "Bacterial large subunit ribosomal RNA", at positions 400 to 2383 of the family's 2925-position model. The record is from RNAcentral.